GGUUAAGCGACUAAGCGUACACGGUGGAUGCCCUGGCAGUCAGAGGCGAUGAAGGACGUGCUAAUCUGCGAUAAGCGUCGGUAAGGUGAUAUGAACCGUUAUAACCGGCGAUUUCCGAAUGGGGAAACCCAGUGUGUUUCGACACACUAUCAUUAACUGAAUCCAUAGGUUAAUGAGGCGAACCGGGGGAACUGAAACAUCUAAGUACCCCGAGGAAAAGAAAUCAACCGAGAUUCCCCCAGUAGCGGCGAGCGAACGGGGAGCAGCCCAGAGCCUGAAUCAGUGUGUGUGUUAGUGGAAGCGUCUGGAAAGGCGCGCGAUACAGGGUGACAGCCCCGUACACAAAAAUGCACAUGCUGUGAGCUCGAUGAGUAGGGCGGGACACGUGGUAUCCUGUCUGAAUAUGGGGGGACCAUCCUCCAAGGCUAAAUACUCCUGACUGACCGAUAGUGAACCAGUACCGUGAGGGAAAGGCGAAAAGAACCCCGGCGAGGGGAGUGAAAAAGAACCUGAAACCGUGUACGUACAAGCAGUGGGAGCACGCUUAGGCGUGUGACUGCGUACCUUUUGUAUAAUGGGUCAGCGACUUAUAUUCUGUAGCAAGGUUAACCGAAUAGGGGAGCCGAAGGGAAACCGAGUCUUAACUGGGCGUUAAGUUGCAGGGUAUAGACCCGAAACCCGGUGAUCUAGCCAUGGGCAGGUUGAAGGUUGGGUAACACUAACUGGAGGACCGAACCGACUAAUGUUGAAAAAUUAGCGGAUGACUUGUGGCUGGGGGUGAAAGGCCAAUCAAACCGGGAGAUAGCUGGUUCUCCCCGAAAGCUAUUUAGGUAGCGCCUCGUGAAUUCAUCUCCGGGGGUAGAGCACUGUUUCGGCAAGGGGGUCAUCCCGACUUACCAACCCGAUGCAAACUGCGAAUACCGGAGAAUGUUAUCACGGGAGACACACGGCGGGUGCUAACGUCCGUCGUGAAGAGGGAAACAACCCAGACCGCCAGCUAAGGUCCCAAAGUCAUGGUUAAGUGGGAAACGAUGUGGGAAGGCCCAGACAGCCAGGAUGUUGGCUUAGAAGCAGCCAUCAUUUAAAGAAAGCGUAAUAGCUCACUGGUCGAGUCGGCCUGCGCGGAAGAUGUAACGGGGCUAAACCAUACACCGAAGCUGCGGCAGCGACGCUUAUGCGUUGUUGGGUAGGGGAGCGUUCUGUAAGCCUGCGAAGGUGUGCUGUGAGGCAUGCUGGAGGUAUCAGAAGUGCGAAUGCUGACAUAAGUAACGAUAAAGCGGGUGAAAAGCCCGCUCGCCGGAAGACCAAGGGUUCCUGUCCAACGUUAAUCGGGGCAGGGUGAGUCGACCCCUAAGGCGAGGCCGAAAGGCGUAGUCGAUGGGAAACAGGUUAAUAUUCCUGUACUUGGUGUUACUGCGAAGGGGGGACGGAGAAGGCUAUGUUGGCCGGGCGACGGUUGUCCCGGUUUAAGCGUGUAGGCUGGUUUUCCAGGCAAAUCCGGAAAAUCAAGGCUGAGGCGUGAUGACGAGGCACUACGGUGCUGAAGCAACAAAUGCCCUGCUUCCAGGAAAAGCCUCUAAGCAUCAGGUAACAUCAAAUCGUACCCCAAACCGACACAGGUGGUCAGGUAGAGAAUACCAAGGCGCUUGAGAGAACUCGGGUGAAGGAACUAGGCAAAAUGGUGCCGUAACUUCGGGAGAAGGCACGCUGAUAUGUAGGUGAAGUCCCUCGCGGAUGGAGCUGAAAUCAGUCGAAGAUACCAGCUGGCUGCAACUGUUUAUUAAAAACACAGCACUGUGCAAACACGAAAGUGGACGUAUACGGUGUGACGCCUGCCCGGUGCCGGAAGGUUAAUUGAUGGGGUUAGCCGCAAGGCGAAGCUCUUGAUCGAAGCCCCGGUAAACGGCGGCCGUAACUAUAACGGUCCUAAGGUAGCGAAAUUCCUUGUCGGGUAAGUUCCGACCUGCACGAAUGGCGUAAUGAUGGCCAGGCUGUCUCCACCCGAGACUCAGUGAAAUUGAACUCGCUGUGAAGAUGCAGUGUACCCGCGGCAAGACGGAAAGACCCCGUGAACCUUUACUAUAGCUUGACACUGAACAUUGAGCCUUGAUGUGUAGGAUAGGUGGGAGGCUUUGAAGUGUGGACGCCAGUCUGCAUGGAGCCGACCUUGAAAUACCACCCUUUAAUGUUUGAUGUUCUAACGUUGACCCGUAAUCCGGGUUGCGGACAGUGUCUGGUGGGUAGUUUGACUGGGGCGGUCUCCUCCUAAAGAGUAACGGAGGAGCACGAAGGUUGGCUAAUCCUGGUCGGACAUCAGGAGGUUAGUGCAAUGGCAUAAGCCAGCUUGACUGCGAGCGUGACGGCGCGAGCAGGUGCGAAAGCAGGUCAUAGUGAUCCGGUGGUUCUGAAUGGAAGGGCCAUCGCUCAACGGAUAAAAGGUACUCCGGGGAUAACAGGCUGAUACCGCCCAAGAGUUCAUAUCGACGGCGGUGUUUGGCACCUCGAUGUCGGCUCAUCACAUCCUGGGGCUGAAGUAGGUCCCAAGGGUAUGGCUGUUCGCCAUUUAAAGUGGUACGCGAGCUGGGUUUAGAACGUCGUGAGACAGUUCGGUCCCUAUCUGCCGUGGGCGCUGGAGAACUGAGGGGGGCUGCUCCUAGUACGAGAGGACCGGAGUGGACGCAUCACUGGUGUUCGGGUUGUCAUGCCAAUGGCACUGCCCGGUAGCUAAAUGCGGAAGAGAUAAGUGCUGAAAGCAUCUAAGCACGAAACUUGCCCCGAGAUGAGUUCUCCCUGACUCCUUGAGAGUCCUGAAGGAACGUUGAAGACGACGACGUUGAUAGGCCGGGUGUGUAAGCGCAGCGAUGCGUUGAGCUAACCGGUACUAAUGAACCGUGAGGCUUAACCUU
RNAcentral lists this ribosomal RNA (2906 nucleotides) under Escherichia coli. RNAcentral describes it as "23S ribosomal RNA". It matches the Rfam family "Bacterial large subunit ribosomal RNA". The record is from RNAcentral. Lineage: Bacteria; Pseudomonadati; Pseudomonadota; Gammaproteobacteria; Enterobacterales; Enterobacteriaceae.